UGAUCCUGGCUCAGAUUGAACGCUGGCGGCAUGCCUUACACAUGCAAGUCGAACGGCAGCACGGGCUUCGGCCUGGUGGCGAGUGGCGAACGGGUGAGUAAUACAUCGGAACGUGCCCUGUAGUGGGGGAUAACUAGUCGAAAGAUUAGCUAAUACCGCACACAACCUGAGGGUGAAAGCGGGGGACCGUAAGGCCUCGCGCUACAGGAGCGGCCGAUGUCUGAUUAGCUAGUUGGUGGGGUAAGAGCCUACCAAGGCGACAAUCAGUAGCUGGUCUGGAGAGGACGAUCGGCCACACUGGGACUGAGACACGGGCCAGACUCCUACGGUAGGCAGCAAUGGGGAAUUUUG
This 351-nucleotide ribosomal RNA is filed under the name uncultured Burkholderiaceae bacterium. RNAcentral's name for it is "bacterial SSU rRNA". It matches the Rfam family "Bacterial small subunit ribosomal RNA", at positions 14 to 366 of the family's 1533-position model. Lineage: Bacteria; Pseudomonadati; Pseudomonadota; Betaproteobacteria; Burkholderiales; Burkholderiaceae. The record is from RNAcentral.